CGCUCUGACUCCGCGGAGGGCCGGUAGAGCCUCGGAGGCCCGGGAAGGAUUGUGGACGCCAGCUCGUCCAUCCUUAGACCUUGGGGCCACGCGGAUCCGCGACCUGAGGUGGCCGCUCUGUCCCAGUUGGACGAGACCUCUCCUCGUCCGGGCAACGACGGACAAAGGCCUUAACGGGCCCGCAAGGUGAGCGGAGCCGCAGUUGACGGCGGGUGGAACGUUAGCGGGCCAGCGGGCGGUGAUCGUCGUUCUACCGAGACAUUGAUGUCGGAAGAUGGAAAUGGUAGAAUAACAUACCCCUUGUGGCCAACAGAAAGUGCCCGCCGUCCUCUGGGAAGAUUUACUGGCCGCUGAUACAGGCCUGUGUAUAUAAUAUGAAAAAGCUGCUCUCAACCUUUCCCCCGACCCUUUUCAGACUUUUGGCUAAAUCUGGUCAUGUAGCUGUAGAGAUUGCCGACGUAG
Molecule: long non-coding RNA, 462 nt
Filed under: Androctonus crassicauda
Lineage: Eukaryota; Metazoa; Arthropoda; Arachnida; Scorpiones; Buthidae
Source: RNAcentral